CUCAGGAUGAACGCUAGCUACAGGCUUAACACAUGCAAGUCGAGGGGCAGCAUGAGAUUAGCUUGCUAAUCUUGAUGGCGACCGGCGCACGGGUGAGUAACGCGUAUCCAACCUUCCCCCUACUCAGGCAUAGCCCGGUGAAAACCGGAUUAACUCCUGAUAGUUUCACUAGAUGGCAUCUGACGGUGAAUAAAGCUCAGCGGUAAGGGAUGGGGAUGCGUCUGAUUAGCUUGUUGGCGGGGUAACGGCCCACCAAGGCGACGAUCAGUAGGGGUUCUGAGAGGAAAGUCCCCCACAUUGGAACUGAGACACGGUCCAAACUCCUACGGGAGGCAGCAGUGAGGAAUAUUGGUCAAUGGGCGCGAGCCUGAACCAGCCAAGUAGCGUGCAAGGAAGACGGCCCUAUGGGUUGUAAACUGCUUUUGUAUGGGAAUAAAGUCAGGGACGUGUCCCUGCUUGCAUGUACCAUAAGAAUAAGGACCGGCUAAUUCCGUGCCAGCAGCUGC
RNAcentral lists this ribosomal RNA (506 nucleotides) under uncultured bacterium. Its description in RNAcentral is "bacterial SSU rRNA". It matches the Rfam family "Bacterial small subunit ribosomal RNA", at positions 23 to 518 of the family's 1533-position model. The record is from RNAcentral.